Rattus norvegicus (Norway rat) is the source of this 806-nucleotide non-coding RNA. The record is from RefSeq and is a predicted model, not a curated record. Lineage: Eukaryota; Metazoa; Chordata; Mammalia; Rodentia; Muridae.
GCCUCUGAAGCAGCUCUCUUCCUCACAAACGGCAGGGGCCACCCUGGUGACCCUCAGUCCAGCUUCCUCCUGCCUUGACACACACACACACACACACACACACACACACACACACACACACACACACACACACACGUGGUCUGUCCCAGGAUGUCUUGAGGGUCCACCAUAUAAAGCAUCUUUUUCCCACAGCUCUGGGAAUUGUCAGCCACAAGGGGCAAGAGUCUCAGUCAGCUUCAAUUUGUUCCACGUGACUAUCCUCGGAACUCACCGGUGGUCCAGUAAAUCCCGGAGGACCGACAGGUCCCUGGAGUCCUGGCAACCCUGGUGAGCCCUGUGAUUGGAUGAGAAGAGAAAGGAUUACCUACUGCAGGCCCCCCAGGGAGUGACUCCAGGGAAGAAGCAGCAAGGCGCUUACCGGCGCCCCAGGGAUACCAGGAAAUCCUCUCUCUCCUUUCAGCAGGGUCCCAGGAACAUGGCCGAGAAUUUCACCGGGAUCUCCCUAGGGGACACAAGAAGGAGAGAAGAUGCAAACUCUUCUUAUUUCUUCCACUGGCCCAGAGCUCACCAAGGCUGACUGGCCAAUGAACUACCUCAGCGGUCUGUGGCAGAAUCACACCCUGAAUACCUCACAUGGCUCAUGGUGUGAUGGGAGAUAUACACACAAGGCUCUGAAACCUAGGUGUCUCUGUGAUUUACACAGCCUUUCACAGAACCAAGUUUAGGACAUUUGUUUCUGGUGUUUUCAACCGAUUUCUUAUGAGGAACCCAAGGGGAUUAAACCAAAAUUAAAUUUAUUUAAACAU